CAGGGCUCUGCAGAAACAAAGCAAGAGCAAUCAGAAGCCACACUGCUAGGUUUUUACAAGAUUUUUAAAACAAUAUAACCUAAUGAAAUCCAGAAUCUGGAAAGCUUUUAAAGUGAGACAAAAAUACAAACUAGAGAGAACUAAACUCUGUACUCAGGUUGUUAAUGAAAUCCAAAAAAAGCAACUAAAUCAAAAUGUUCAGAACAGUGAGAAAAGAGCAAAUUGCUGGUGUAGCUGGACUGGAAUCAGCACUGCGGACAUGAGAAAGGCAACAGGCUUCUAAGAGCAUGUGUGUUCUCUAGGGACAUGCUGGCAUGCGGGGCUGACUUUUGCUGAGGAAUGGACUAAAGGCACUCUGUGAGCCAUGGCCAAUCAGAAUGGCUGGAGGUAAUUUCACUUUUGCCUGGACUGGCAAUGAGAGCACCGGAGAGCAAUGAAUGCAAUCUAGAGGGUGCUACUCCCAUCCUUCCUCUAGUAGAGCCACUGUGUGUCCAUCCAUUUGAACAACAAUGUUCACAGGACAGGCACCGGAGACAUGACAAUCAAGUGCACAGCAGAGCCUUGCCCACCUUCUGCAGCGGCUGUCAGGGACAGCCUCACAAGGCUUAGGAACACAGCUCUGGUUUCUGGAAGCCUCUGGCUUUGGUAAAUUGCAGUACACAAGAGAAAUACAGUUCAAGUCCUAGGGUGAAUUCAGGGGAGAGUGACCUCUCACAAACGGUUCCUGAGAAAGCAGCUGUCUGGGUUCAGGGGAGUCCUUUAAGACACACAGGCCUUUAAACCAGGAACUGCUCUCAGAGUAAGCAGGUUCUCAAGAGUGCACACACUCAGCCAGAAGUAAGCCUGGCUGGGAGCCAUGUGCUUGGCAAGCUGCAGUCACCUAUGGGCUUGUAAUAGAGUUUGCACUGAGCGAGCAGGUCUGACACACUGCUGCACACAGAGCUACAGAAGCGACUCCAAAAAUGAAAAAAAAAGCUUUCUAUACACAUCAGAGUAAGACUCUGUGCAGAAACCAAGUGUCCUGCCCUUGUUCAGGUUGUUUAGGUGCCUGGGCACCAACCAGAGAAAACUCACAAGCACCUGGGAUCCUGGUUUCAUUUCUGCAAAUAUGUCCUUUCUAUAGAAAUGAUCUUUCCCAGAGACCAGAGCUCCCACUGGACACAUCUGUUAAUAGUGUGCCCACCUCUUUCCCACAUCAGAGAACUGAGAUCCACAGCCAGCCCCAAGUGGCCACCCAUGGUUAUUACCGCUUGCUUGCUUGCUUCCCUAAGUGGGGGCAUAUGUUUCAUUAAACACAUGAGGUAACUGCUGCUCUGUAUCUCUGGAAGUGCCCUCCUGUCUUACCAAAGUGACUCAUCGCCAGAGCAGAGCAGAAGCACUGGCCCUCUGCACUGCUCAAGUCACUAAAAAUGGGUCGUUUUGCUGAUUUCACCAGCAACUACUUGAUAUGUAAGUUCCAGGAUGCUGCAGAGAGUCCCCAAGGAAUAGACAGCAAACACUCUGGCUUGGGGCCACUCCGUCCUGGCAUCAAGAAAGGCCAAGGUACCUAUCCACGGACACCACCUGGCAAUGGCAACACCGUCCACACUAGAAUACAAGGAAACAAGGUCCAUGUGCCAGAUGCUGGGCCAUGAAUGCUGGGGACAAUGACACAAUGGCUGUCAACUGGGAGCUCCAGCCGUGCUGUGGGUUAAAUGUGGGAUGUCCCCAACUGAUGACAUGUCUAGGAAGACGGUGGUACCUUUAGGAGGCGGAGAACUGAAGAAGUGGGCCACUGGGGCCAGACCUGGAAGUUUUACAGCCUGGCCCCAAUUCCUAUUUAUCUCUGCUUCCUGGUGGCAGAGUCAGUGUGACACAUCAGCCUCGUGACCCUGACACUAUGCCUUCCCACAAAAAUGGACUCUCUUCCCUACAUGACAGGGCACAAUUAAAUCCUUCCUCAGUCACUGCAGUGAGACAGCGUGACCCGUUAGUCUACAGGUCACAGGGAACCAAGACUCCUAGCCCUCCGCCCCUCACAGUGCCAAGCACAGACGUACUCUACGAUGGCGUCUCGGUCUGCGAUGUCCCCGAGCACCAUGCGCUGGAUGAUGCUGUUAUGCUCCUCUUCCGAGAGGUUCUUGUAGGACACCAGGGGGAUGUUAUACUUGGUGGCUGGUGAGGGGUCCACUCCCUGGAGCCAAGGGUGGCUUUCAAUCUCUUCCAGAGAGGCUCUCCUUUUGGGGUCUCUCUGCAGCAUCCGUGUGAUCAGGCUGUGAAAGAAGGGAGCCAUUACUGAAGCACACUGUUUGCAAGGACUGGUAAUGAUGGGCGUCACCAACAAGCACGGUUUCUUACACAGCCACAAUUUCUAGGCUCGCUGACAUGAGAACCUGGUGCCACCACAUUUAUAAAAUAAAACAAUCUCAGCCUCCUGGUGUCCUGAUGAGGGACAAAGCUUCCUGCUUUUUAAAAGAAACAACCCUAACCCUGAAUCACAAGCUGGCCUAGUGCACACAGACACUGCACCACCCAGCUUGUCUCAUAGGAAUGGAUGACUCUCCUGAUGGAAAUAAGGCCAUGUGACAACUUUUUAGGAAUACUUGAUGCGGAAUCACGUGGACAAACAGCUGGUAGCUUCAACUGUCCCCUGCUUUGUGUGGAAGGCCACACUGGGUUCAUGUUACUGAAUACAAGGGGCAGCAGCUAGUCACAGUGGAAGGAAAGCUCUCGGAAAGAGAGGACUCCAUCUCAGUGCCCAAUGAGAAAUGAGAGAGAAAUCCACUCCUCAGAAGAGGACCAGAAGGAAGCUGUGAGCUCAGCUCUGGAAGACCCCACUCCUUUCUGUAGAAUGUGCCUUGAAAGAACUUCAGCACAAAGUUUCAGUGAGCAGGUCAAACUCACAACGGAAAUGAGGAGCCAUCAGCAAGACCCCAACAGCAAAUCAGAAUGUACUGCACACUUUCACGGUUAACAGUGCUCAGACAGAAUCAAACUCACAUGACUGCGUAACAAGAACAGGCAAAAUUAUGCUAGACGGGCUUCUAAAAGUGAAAAAUAACCUCUGUAAUUGAAAAAGGUAAGCAAUGGACACAUUUAAGAAAUUAAAUGUAAGAGAAUUCAUGAAAUGAAAUACAAAGCCAAGAAGACACUUUUCUUUGUAGGCUCGAUAGAAAAUACCAAGAUUGAAAGAUGAGACAAAGUGCAAAUAGCUAACAGCCUGGAGGAUAUGAAAAAGAGAAAGAAAGAAAGCAUAUUUGGGAAGGUAGUAGCUGAGAAUUUUCCAAAUUCAUGAAAGAAUGUAACUCAUAAGCUAGAGAGCCUAACACAGUCUAAGCACAACACAUGGACGCUCCAAGAGAAAAGCAGAACUCUGAAGCAGGAGCUAUCAGGCAGACAGCUGACUUCUUGAUGCAACCAUUGAUUCUGAGAAAGGCUGGAAGGACAUCAGAGAGAGAAAGGACCAGGGGUGACCUUCAUGGACACACAGCAUAAAGACACUCCUAAGGCAGCAUUAACCACCAACAGCAAGUGCAAAUAUGAAAGAUAUAAUUCUGAGAAGGGAGUUAGCAAAGUUCCUGUCAAACAUCUAGAAGAUAAUCAACAAUAUAUAUACAUACAUACAUACAUACAUAUAUGUAUACACACACACACACACAUAUUCAAAGAUUUACUUAUUUGUCGUGUAUACAACAUUCUGCUUCCAUGUACACUUUCAUGCCCGAAAGGGUGCCAGAUUUUAUUAUAGAUGGUUGUGAGCCACCAUGUGGUUGCUGGGAAUUGAACUCAGGUCUCCUCUGGAGGAGCAGUCAAUGCUCUUAACCUCUGAGCCAUCUCUCCAGCCCCUUAUCAACAAUUUGACUAUAUAAAAAUUUCAAUUUGUAGAGUUAGAAAAAAAUUACUAAAGUAUUAGAUGAUAGUUAAAAUAUUAGUAUUUUAAAAUGUUUUAGAAGACAAUAGAAGUAUUAACUGUAGAUUUUUUAAAAGCUAAAAUAAUAGCCUACAACUCCCAGCUAGCUGAAACAUGAGAUAAAUGGCAGAAAAGGAAAGUCACCACCACGCUCCAGGGCAGAAGGUAAGGUCAAAGAAGAGUGCAGAGACACACCCAUAGCUGUAUUUACCACUGCACACAACAAACCCAGAUGGAACAAGCUCCACAGCUGUAAAGAUAGAAACUGCCAUGCGAUUCAACAAGUCAGACUGUUCAAAAAGAUGAGGAAAACUGUCAUACACAGAUGCUGACCCAACACGGCAGGUGUGGGUAACCCUUGAAAUGCCACACACAGGCCUAAACAGGAAGCAUUACUCUGGUGUAAACGGACACUGAGGGCUAAUUCAAUUCAUCAGGAAGACAGCAGUUUUCAACUUACCUGCAUCUAAGAACUUCAAAACUGACAAACCUUAAGAAUAAAGCUACUGCCAAAGUGGAAGAGUAUCUCAGCAGGUGAAAAGAACACUGGAUGCAAACAACUUUUAAAAAUAUAAUUAAUGAAAAAAUAUAAUUAAUGAGCUUGACCUUACAGAUGUAUAUAGACCUCUGACCCCAACUUGAAAAUACACUCUACCAAGAACAAUUAUCUUCAUGAUAGGCACAAACAAGCCUCAAAAACGUGAAAACAUGGUAACAUGCAGACUGUAUUCUCUGACUAUAAUGUAGCAUAGGAAUCAAAAACAUCAAUCAGCUAACUAGAAAUGAAACCACCUGUAAACAAGGCAAGUAUUAAAUAAGGCAAUGAAAGCUAGGAAACUCUAUGAGUCGAAUAACAAAGACUGUUUAUCAAAUCCAGUGUGAUGAAGCAAUUUAUAGUCCUAAACAUUUUAAUCGUAAAAGAAAUUCGAUGAGCUGAAUAACUAACAAAAUCAGCUCCCAGGUUAGGUAGAAGAAAUAACACCAAUAAGAGGACAGGCAGGAAGCAUCAGAAGCCAGUCCUCAUGAAGAGACAGAGCAAGCAGCAGGCUUCAGACUGAGGACAACAGGAGGAAGCAUGCAUGCAGACAGCGGUACCCUGGUUAGUAAAGGUCUCACAGACACUCAAGGUCAAUACAUCAAAUAGGUAGAUACAAUGGGAAAGUUCCUUAAAAUACGCCACUUAGCAAAACACACUAGAAAAGGUUGGUUUUUUUGUUUUGUUUUUCUGUGUAGCCUUGGCUGUCCCAGAACUAGCUUUGUAAAUCAGGCUGGCUGUUAACUCAGGGAAAUGCACCUGCCUCUGCCCCCAGAAUACUGAUUAAAGGUGUGUGUCACCACCUUCCACUGUUGCUUUGCUUCUUAUCUGAAUGGUCUUACAGUUAUUAAAACAAUCCUUCUAGGAAGGAGACACAGAGGCAACAUCUCAGAACUUAGGAGAGGAGCAUCCAUGUUGAUUCUAUAGCCUGUAGGCUUCCAAUGACACAGUUUUAUGCAAAGUGAGAUUUGUUUUUAACUGGGGACAGAGAAGAUAAUCUGACCUGCACUUGGUGUACACAGGCUUCCUAGCUGGAAGAGUAAGAGACAGAACCUGAAUCACCACCCACCCACCCAGCUCCCCUUGUCCUAAAGCACAAAAUCACCACACACACACACACACACACACACACACACACACGCGCACACACCCCUACCUUCCCGUGUGCUCUAACCUAAAACCACCACAUACACCAACACAACUCCAGUAUGCUCCAACCUAAAAUCACUACCAACAGACACAUCUACAGAGUCUCCUAUGUGCCUCAGCCUAAAUCACCAACACACAUACUGCACACACACUCCUUGACUCAUAUGUGAUCUAACCUAAAAUCAACAACAGGCACACAGGAUCUACUGAGUACUACAGUGUGAAACCACCAGGACCAACAUAAACAUACACACAGACUUCAUGUGCUCCAGCCUAAAAUCAACAACCACCAAUAUAGGAGACAGAGCUUCUCAUGUGCGCUAGACUAAAAUCAUCAUCACACCAACACACACAGCCUCCUGUGUGCUACAACUCACAAUCACCAACAUGAGUAACAUAUAGCCUACAAUCACCAGUAGGCACCAGCAACAUACACACAGCUUCCCACAUGCUCCACCCCCAAAUCACCACCCCCAUCGUACACAGAGCCUCGCCUAUGCUCCAGCCUGAACCAAUGCUUUACAGUAUCACCUCAUCAUUUUCACAGUAAUAAGUAUACUGCACCAUGCUCACAUAGGCAGUAAGCUAAAAAGCCAGUAUUUGAGCCCCCAGAAUUGAAUGCCCAAGUUGGGAUUCUAUCUGAAAAAGAACCCCCAAUCUGUUGUAGCUCUUCCUUACAGCUGACAGGAAAAACUCUAAAUUUUGUUGAUAUAGAAAAAAAUAUUUUAACUGGCAACUACAAUCUCAGCUGGUUCAUUUAAAAAUAUCAAAAACUUCAAAAAGCCCUCUUCCAAGAUUGCAUCUCUCACUGCACUGGUGAUGGCACUAUAAUCCUGCAAACUCACAGGGAGAAACCCCAAAGCCAGUCAGUGCUGACUUCCCACAGCGGCACACAACGAAGUACAGUCUUUACUCUGCUGUGGGAGGGUGUGUGAACACAGGACUUGCUACCACGAGACGAUGCAGGAGGAACCCUGCAACGAUAGGCUCCUGCCAAGAGGAAAGCCCAAGUCUUCUCUGGAAUUUCAAACAGUUCCAAACAGUCUAGCUUUUGCAAUUGAAGAAAAAGUCAGCUAAGGGAAGGUCUUAACCACAACUUCUGGAGGCUGAAAAGGCAAAAUGGAUUUCUUGAAAACAUGGGUUAGAAUGUUUUAUACUCUUGUGUUGAAUUUCUUAUCAAAUACUAAUGGGUGGCCCCAAACGCUAACAGUAGAAAUAUUAAUCUCAUAAAUUAAAUGAACUGAAGUCCUUGCAUGCUGAGGGUAUGCCAGGCCCUCACCAUGUGUUGGUGAGCCGUUUCUGUUUAAUGGAGCUGUGCCGUGUGCACAGGCUUUACUUACUCCCUGCACCCCGCAGACACACGGGGCGGCACAGUGUACUUGCAGUCCAUAAUCAUGGUCAGGGUCUCGCUGUCGUUGGCCUCCUGGAAGGGCGGCUGUCCACACACCAGCAUGAAAAGGAUCACGCCCAGGCUCCAUAUGUCUACAAAGGAAAGACAACAUUUACACAGAGUAUCUAGAAAACCAGGAUCAUUAGGAUGAGGAAAGGUAGGCUAACAAGUAUUGUAUCCUUAAAGUAAAAAUACACAAAGCAGACUGCAAAACCUAUACAGAGCAGAAGAAUCAGCCUGUCUAAUAGGAGGAAAACUAGGAAAUCAGUUUGCCCAGGUUUAAGCCAAGGGACAAGGUCCGCUUUCCCCAAGUGACCAUAGCACACCCAGCAUUAAAAGCAUUAAACUGUGAGGCUGGAAACGAUUUGCCUGAGGUCAGCAUUAUCUCCAUUGUUCUCCCUCAUUCUGAGGUGGUAAGCAGGUCAUAUGGGUGCUGAGAGAAAACUGCAGCCCAGAGACAAGCAAAAUACAGCUAUCACGCAAACCAAUCAAAAGCCCAAACUGGGUCUGUACCACAUUAUAUGGCAAAGCUGAGCCCACGGUUUAAGAACUCAGCCUGCAAACAGUAAGAGUUGCUCAACAGAAAAGUUAAGCCAUGGGGGACUGGGAGAAAGACAGCUCACCUGUUAGGUGAGGAGCUGGCUGCCUCUGGUGCCAGCACCCACAGGGUGGCCAGCAGCCUCCUGUACCUCAAGCUGCAGAGGCUCUAACACCCUCUCUCGGUCUCCAUGGGCACUGCACUCAUGUGCACCCCCCAACACACAUUAUUUUAAAGUAAAAUAAAUACUUAUUUUUUAUAAGAAGAAGGGGCAAGUUUCUUGUCAUUAAAAUAUCCUGGUAUUGCCCAUCUUUGGACAAGCUAUUGUCCUGACAGACCGACCCUGCCCAGUGUAAAGCUGCAGGAACUAGUUUCUGAGGAUUCACAAAAAUAAACAACCUCCUUUUGUCUUUAAAUAAAAUACAAACCUAUCAAUUGGGGGGGGUGAUGAUUUUGGAAAUUUCCUAAAGGUUGAAAAGAGGUUUUAAGAGGAUUUAAGAAGGGCAUCACAAAUUCAUUCAUUCCAGAAAUGAAAAUAUAUGUGUGGUAAUACACACAUACACACUCACACACAUACUCUCUUUCUCCCUCUCCAGCAGCUUUCUGAAUACACACUCAGAAGAGAACUGUGCACCAUGGAGUCUGUCUGCCACGUCAUUAUACCUGCGCACAGGCAACUGCUGUUUUCAUGUAAAACACCCAAAAUAAUGGCAGUACCAAGCUAAGAAAAUAUAAGUUUGUGAAUCAAAUAUCAUUUCCUUGUUUCAAAUGAAAAAGGAGAGCAACAAGCAAGAGCCCACCCUUCCUCACAGUGUGGCUUUUCAGGUGUGUGGCACAUUUUGCUGUGGGUGUACUUAUGAAAAGUCAUUAGGAGGAGGACACACACACACACAGACCACUCCAUCUAAUCCCAAGGACAUGUCUAGCCCUGCUCUCAACACUGGCUGCCUUCUUCUUGGACCUCAGAAGUCUCUACUCAAAUCACUUCAGUAAGGACAGUCAACCACACUUAUUAUUUAAAUAAACAUUAAGAAGUAUUGAAAUCUCAAGUCUCGUCAGACCUUAAUAAGGUUUUUAAAGGAAAUUAACUGAUUUUUAACUUAAACUCUCCUUGUACAACUUUUAAAAGAUUUAUAUGUAUGUUUUGAAUGUAUGUAUGUAUGUAUGUAUGUAUGUAUGUAUGUAUGUAUGCCACAUGCAUGCAGUGCUGUGGAAGUCAGAAAGAAAUGUUGGAUCCCCUGGAACUGAAGUUACAAACAGCUGAGAGCCAGGAUAGUCAUGGAAUCACCCUCUGAAACUCUAAGCACAUAGUAAACUCUUUCUCCUAUAAGUUGCCUUGGUUAUCAUGUCUUAGUACAUCAAUAAAAAUCUAAGUAAGACAAUGGUCAUUUCCUCAAGCAAACUAAUACUUUGUCUACUGCAUGGUCAGAGGGUCCCCUACGAAGAAAAUCAAUGCAACAAGCAAACCCCAGUCUGGUUAGUGUUCGUACGUUUCUCCAUAUAGAACUAUGUAGAAGCUAAGGAACUUAGAAACACAGCGCUGUACUAAGAAAUGGACAUAAGUUUGAAGCAUUUCGGUAAGAACCGUAAGAUAACACAUCCAACAGUUUCUGAAGUAGAUGGCCCUCGCAUAAGGAGGAGGGGUCAGCACUGAGCACGAAGACUUGUCCUUACCAUCCACAGUGUAGCUUCAACAACCUAUGUAGCAUUAUGUAAGGGACCCCACAGACUCCCUGCAGUGUGUACACGGGAAUGUCUAUGUAGGCACUAUUUUAGUUCCUGCUGUUGCUGUGAUGAAACAGACAAAAAGAAACUUACAAGAGGAAGGAUUUAUCUGGCUGACACUCUAAGGUUACAGGUCAUCACUAAGGGAAGUUAGGGCCAGAACUCAAGCAGAAACUUGAAGGCAGAAAGUCAUAGAACACUGCAGGGUGGCUCAAUAUUAGUUAGCUUUCUUAUAUAGCCUAGGGUCACCUGCCCAGGUAAUGCCACCCACAGUUGGCUGGGCCCUCCUACAUCAAUUAAUAAGACAAUCCCUCACAGACAUGCCCCAGAGCCCAGCCCAAUAAAGACAAUUACUCAAUUGA
Molecule: non-coding RNA, 9588 nt
Organism: Cricetulus griseus (Chinese hamster)
Lineage: Eukaryota; Metazoa; Chordata; Mammalia; Rodentia; Cricetidae
Source: RefSeq, a predicted model, not a curated record